AUACUUACCUAGUUAGGGAAGCACCACGAUCAUGAAGGUGGUUUUCCCAGGGUGAGGCUCAUCCAUUGCACUCUGGGUGUGCUGACCUCUGCAGGAAACCUGACUACACAAUUGGGGUAGUGAGGAUACCGCACUUGCAUUCUCCCCU
Molecule: small nuclear RNA, 148 nt
Organism: Aotus nancymaae (Ma's night monkey)
Lineage: Eukaryota; Metazoa; Chordata; Mammalia; Primates; Aotidae
Gene: U1
Rfam family: U1 spliceosomal RNA
About the family: U1 is a small nuclear RNA (snRNA) component of the spliceosome (involved in pre-mRNA splicing). Its 5' end forms complementary base pairs with the 5' splice junction, thus defining the 5' donor site of an intron. There are significant differences in sequence and secondary structure between metazoan and yeast U1 snRNAs, the latter being much longer (568 nucleotides as compared to 164 nucleotides in human).
Source: Ensembl